RNAcentral lists this ribosomal RNA (433 nucleotides) under uncultured bacterium. Its description in RNAcentral is "partial 16S ribosomal RNA". It matches the Rfam family "Bacterial small subunit ribosomal RNA", at positions 28 to 507 of the family's 1533-position model. The record is from RNAcentral.
GACGAACGCUGGCGGCGUGCCUAACACAUGCAAGUCGAACGAGACCUUCGGGUCUAGUGGCGCACGGGGAGGGACGACGGGGGGACCAGCACUUGGGUUCGGAGUAACUGCCCGUAAGGGGAGCUAAUGAAGGAGAGGGUAUUAGGGCAAAAGAUGUAUCGCUGUUGGAUGGGGCCGCGUUGGAUUAGCUGGUUGGUAGGGUAAAAGCCUACCAAGGCGACGAUCCAUAGCUGGUCUGAGAGGAUGAUCAGCCACACUGGGACUGAGACACGGCCCAGACUGCGACGGGAGGCAGCAGUGGGGAGUAUUGGACAAGGGGCGAAAGCCUGGUCCAGCAAUGCCGCGUGAGUGAUGAAGGCCUUAGGGUUGUAAAGCUCUUUGACCCGGGAUGAUAAUGACAGUACCGGGUGAAGAAGCACCGGCUAACUCCGUG